This 506-nucleotide ribosomal RNA is filed under the name uncultured Glomeromycotina. RNAcentral describes it as "partial small subunit ribosomal RNA". It matches the Rfam family "Eukaryotic small subunit ribosomal RNA", at positions 591 to 1092 of the family's 1831-position model. The record is from RNAcentral. Lineage: Eukaryota; Fungi; Glomeromycota.
CCAAUAGCGUAUAUUAAAGUUGUUGCAGUUAAAAAGCUCGUAGUUGAAUUUCGGGAUUGACACAUCGGUCGUGCCUUAAGGGGUAUGAACUGGUGUAGUCAAUUUCUCACCUUCUGGAGAACCGCGAUGCCCUUAAUUGGGUGUCACGGGGAACCAGGACCUUUACUUUGAAAAAAUUAGAGUGUUUAAAGCAGGCAUUUUGCUUGAAUACAUUAGCAUGGAAUAAUAAAAUAGGACGGCAUGAUUCUAUUUUGUUGGUUUCUAGGAUCACCGUAAUGAUUAAUAGGGAUAGUUGGGGGCAUUAGUAUUCAAUUGUCAGAGGUGAAAUUCUUGGAUUUAUUGUAGACUAACUACUGCGAAAGCAUUUGCCAAGGAUGUUUUCAUUAAUCAAGAACGAAAGUUAGGGGAUCGAAGACGAUCAGAUACCGUCGUAGUCUUAACCAUAAACUAUGCCGACUAGGAAUCAGACGAUGUUAAUUUUUUAAUGACUCGUUUGGCACCUUACG